GAAGCAGAUCACCUUAUCGCUUUCCGCAAUAGCGGGAGGAGGAAAGUCCGGACACCUUAGUGCGGCAUAGCGGGUAACACCCGUCGUCCUGCGAAAGCAGGAUAGGACAAGUGCAACAGAAAGUAUGUACAGGUUAAGCUGUAGUGAAACCAGGUAAACUCUAUGCGGUGAAACGCCAUGUAUAUCAGCGAUUGAGGGCUGCACGUCCGAGCUGAAGGGUAGGCGGCUAGAAUGUUUGGGUAACCAAACAUCCAGAUAAAUGAUAAGGGCCCUUAGGGGAACAGAAUCCGGCUUAUGAUCUGCUUUUUAU
This 310-nucleotide RNase P RNA is filed under the name Eudoraea sp. RNAcentral describes it as "RNase P RNA component class A". It matches the Rfam family "Bacterial RNase P class A". From Rfam's summary of the family: Ribonuclease P (RNase P) is a ubiquitous endoribonuclease, found in archaea, bacteria and eukarya as well as chloroplasts and mitochondria. Its best characterised activity is the generation of mature 5'-ends of tRNAs by cleaving the 5'-leader elements of precursor-tRNAs. The record is from RNAcentral. RNAcentral also lists the same sequence under 1 other name. Lineage: Bacteria; Pseudomonadati; Bacteroidota; Flavobacteriia; Flavobacteriales; Flavobacteriaceae.